RNAcentral lists this ribosomal RNA (484 nucleotides) under uncultured bacterium. RNAcentral's name for it is "partial 16S ribosomal RNA". It matches the Rfam family "Bacterial small subunit ribosomal RNA", at positions 30 to 507 of the family's 1533-position model. The record is from RNAcentral.
AUUGAACGCUGGCGGCAGGCCUAAUACAUGCCAGUCGAGCGGAUGAAGGGAGCUUGCUCCUGGCUUCAGUGGCGGACGGGCGAGUAAUGCCUAGGAAUCUGCCUGGUAGUGGGGGCUAACGUCAGGUAACGGGCGCUAAUAUCGCAUACGUUCUGAGGGUGAACGUGGGGGAUCUUUGGACCUCACGCUAUCUGCUGAGCCUAGGUCGGAUUAGCUAGUUGGUGUGGUAAAGGCCUACCAAGGCGACGAUCCGUAGCUGGUCUGAGAGGCUGAUCAGUCACACUGGAACUGAGACACGGUCCAGACUCCUACGGGAGGCAGCAGUGGGGAAUAUUGGACAAUGGGCGAAAGCCUGAUCCAGCCAUGCCGCGUGUGUGAAGAAGGUCUUCGGAUUGUAAAGCACUUUAAGUUGGGAGGAAGGGCAGUAAGUUAAUACCUUGCUGUUUUGACGUUACCAACAGAAUAAGCACCGGCUAACUUCGUG